Molecule: long non-coding RNA, 12435 nt
Organism: Pan troglodytes (chimpanzee)
Lineage: Eukaryota; Metazoa; Chordata; Mammalia; Primates; Hominidae
Exons: 5
Source: RefSeq, a predicted model, not a curated record
CCCCCUCCUCCCGACCCAUCCCGCCCGGCCCAGUGAGCUAAUCCGCAGCUGGCGGGCGCCCGGCCGGUUGCCACGGCAACCCCUCUCCCAGGGCCCGGCCCCGCGCGGAGCUGCGGUAAACAGGACCUUCUGCCGGACUCGCCCCCUCGCCUCUCGGGAUGGGGGAGAGGUGGCUUAACCCUUCCUGGGAGGACGCCCGCCGCGCGCCGGCUCCAUUCCACCCAGGCCCGGGCGGAUUCGCGAGGUGCUUCCGGCCCGAGGCUUAGACCUGGACGUCCAAGCCCGGGGAACGGCGGCCGCAUGCCCGGCCCCGCUUACUCUAGGCAGUUAACACACUCUCAGCACCGGGCCGGGGCCGGGGGCACCUCGGGCAGUGAGUCAGGCACCACCCUUGCCCCAGGCAGCUUGCCGUCGGGCCGGGGUAAUGACAGUCAGGAGACCGGCGAUGCAGAAUACAGGAGGACAGUCAGGCCAGUGAAUCCAACUCUUCUGUGUGGACUUCUGUGCACAGGAUGAAAGGCACCUACCUCUUGCUUCUGAGAGCCUUCCCUGCCUACUUUCUGGCCCAACGAGGCAAUCUCUUCAGAGUCAGGAGAAGGAGUGAGGCUGAUCUUGAACUCCUAGUUUUGAGAGAUCUUCCUGCUCUGUCUGGCCUCCCAGUGUUCUAGGAUUACAGGUGUGUCAGCCACGGUGCACAGCCGCCCAGGUGUUUUUGGUGGAGGUGGCUCAAGUCCCCACCAGAGACACACUGGUUUAGAGCCUGCUCAGGGGGAACAAAGACGUUGAAGCUGCAGCAGAGACAGAGUCUUGCUAUAUUGCCCCGGCUGGUCUGAAACUCCUGUGCUCAAGCAAUCCUCCCACUUUGGUCUCCCGAUGUGCUGAGAAUACAGAUGUGGGCCACCAUGCCUGGCUGACACUUGGCAAUGUUUGAAGAUAUUUUAUUAUCAUAAUUGGGAAAGGGAAGUGCUAUGGUCUGAACGUGUCCGCCUCCAAAAUUCAUAUGUUGAAAUCCUAACCCCCAAAGUGAUGGAAGUGAGAAGGCGGCGGUCUGCAGCCCAGAAGCAGGACCUCCCCAGAACCCAACCAUGCUGCACCUGGAUCCUGGACUUUUCAGCCUCCAGGACUGUGAGAAAGAAAUAUUUGCUGUUUCUUUUUUUUUUUUUUUUUUUUUUUUUUUUGAGACAGAGUCUCACUCUGUCACCCAGGCUGGAGUGCGGUGGCCCAAUCUCGGCUCACUGCAAGCUCUGCCUCCUGGGUUCACGCCAUUCUCCUGCCUCAGCCUCCCGAGUAGCUGGGACUACAGGCGCCCGCCACCACGCCCAGCUAAUUUUUUGUAUUUUUAGUAGAGACGGGGUUUCACCGUGUUAGCCAGGAUGGUCUCUAUUUCCUGACCUCGUGAUCCUCCCGCCUCGGCCUCCCAAAGUGCUGGCAUUACAGGCGUGAGCCACUGCGCCCGGCCAAUAAAUAUUUGCUGUUUCUAAGCCACACAGUUCAUGGUAUUUUGUUAUAUAGCAGCUCAAACGGACUAAGACAGGGAGUGUUUCUGGCAUCAAGUGGGUAAAGGCCAGACAUGCUGCCGAACAUCCUCCAAAGCACAGGACAGCCUCCCUCUCCACACACGACGAAGAAUUGUCUUGUCUGGAAUGCCUAAAAUGCAGAGGCCGGGAAGCCCAGAGCCAGCCCAUUCCCCACCUCCACCAUCUUCCCCUUGAACUAGUACUUGCCCUGCAUCACAUCUGCUGGGUAGCGAUGUUACACGCGAGCUGCUAAACCCGGUCAUGUGGUUCACGUGGAAAGACAAGCAAAGCCAGAUGGGCUUUUGCAGAGUUCCCCUUCCCUUGCCUCCCGGUUGGGUCUGGGAACCUCCUGGAAGCGUGUGUUAUCCUUCCCGAGUGAAUGGUGCCACCUAGUGGAAAUAGAGUUAACAACACCAGCAGGAGCAUUUCAUACACCUGGAAACCUAAAAAUUAGCUAGCUUUCCACUGUGGAGAAGAUUCAAUGGGGAUCAACGAAAGCCACCCAAAUGAGGAAGGCAGAGGCUAUUUAUUUAGCGUUUUCUAUGGCCAGACAGUCAGCCACCAUCACUUGCCUUUGGCAGAGAGUCAAAUAUAACUGGAGACUCAAAUGCUAGUGGGAAAGGCUUCUAUAGGUUUCAGGUGGGCUCUAAUUGGAAGAUGUUGGCAGGGGGAAGGUGCAGGCAGCAGCAUCUUAUGUGAUGGGUUUGGAGAGGAUUUUUGGCUUUCUUGGCUUGGUCCUGAGUUGGAAGUGUCAGUGAGAAUUAGGGCAGCAGGCAGUCAUUGAGCAAAUCCUGACGUUCUGGGCCUAUCGCUGUAGAAGGUUGGCUUGGCUCCUGCCCCGGUUGCUGCAAAGGUUGUCGGUCACAGCCUCUGAAUAUGCAAAGAGUCAAUGACCAUAUAUGACACUAGACAUAGAAAUGCAUAGUUAUAUAUGGCCAUUGUCUCUUUGCAUAUUCAGUCUCUUAAUUCAUUAAACAUUCUAAAUAUAUCCAUCCCUCCUGUUACUAAUCCUGAAACAGAUUGCAUAAAGUUACCCAUGUGAGCAGCAGGUUGACUCCAAGCCAGCAUCUGUGAUUUUCAAUGGUUGCCCUUAUAAACUUUGAUUUAGGGUUCAUAUGUGAUAGAACUGUUUUUGUUUUGUUUUGUUUUGUUUUGUUACUGCCCAUGUUGCCUUCAUAUGUAUGACAUAAUUCUCCUAACUGACAUGGGCCUCAGUAAUAAUCUCUCAACUUCACCUGUGUGGGAGCUGACUCUAGCUCUUUACAAUGCUACACUUUCACCACUGCCACCACCAUCACCAGUCAUUUGGUGGUGGUGAUGGUGGUGGAUGGUAACAGUGGUGGUAAUGAUGGUGGUGAUGGUUAUGGUGGGCCUAUUGCUGCAGAGAUCGUAGGUCACCACCAUCACUGUCACCGUUACCACCACCACUAUCAUUAUGAUCACCACCACUUUUGUCACCACCACCACCGGUCACCACCAACACCGUCACCAGCACCACUGUCACCACCACCACUAUCACCAUCACCAUUAUCACCAUCACCACCACCACCAUUACCAAUAUCAUUGCCACCACCAUUGCCACUGUCACCACCAUCACUGUCACCAUCAUCACCAUCACCACCGCCACUGUUACCAUCACUACCACUAUUAUCACCACCACUACCACCAACAUCAACAAUACCACUACCAUUACCAAUAUCAAUGCCACCACCAUUACUGUCACCACUAUCAUCACUGUCACCACCAUCACUCACCACUAUCAUCCCCAUCACCACCACUACCACUGUCACCACCACCACGACCACCAUUACCAUCACCACCAACAUAACCACUGCCCCAUUACCAACAUCAAUACCACCACCAUCACCAUUGUCACCGCCAUCACCACCACCACUGUUACCACCCACUACCAUUACCUUGGCCACCACCACCACCAUCUUCACCACCACCACAACCAUCUUCACCACCACCACCAUAUUCACCACUACCACUAUCUACAAGGUCAAUGGUUCUCAAAAUGUUUUCCCCAAACCAACAGCAUCAGCAUCAUAUAGUAACUGUUAGAAAUGCACAUUCUUGGGCCUCACCCCAGACCUACAAAAAUCAGCAAUGGGGUGGGGCCAGCCCUCCAACUAAUUCUGAUGGAUGCUAAAGUUUGAGAGCCACCAUUCUAGAUAAAUUUCUAGGAUGCCCGCAAGGGCCUUAUUUUCAGUCAGAACUUCCACAAUGUAUCCUUUAAAUUUGUGAAAAUUUGCUUGUCUUAUGAAGUAGUCAGAGAAACAAGACGACCUUUAUCUAGGUAAUAUUGAGGCAGAAAUUCAAGGAAAAAUAAAUCCACUGAGCUGGUGUGCACCUUAAAAUAAUUAUCCUCCUAUAUUCACCCAUACUUGUCUAGUCCCCUGCAUCCCGCAACAUUUCUUGGCGAGCCAGCCAGGAGGAGUGGAGACGGCAGAUCUACUGUCUCCUUUCCCUAUGGGGCUGGAGCCCCGGGCCAGGGGAGACCUGUGACCCCAGGUGCCACCAGGAGAACUUCAGCCUGGAGGGGUGAAAUCAGCUCUCCUGUGACCCAGCACCCCUACCCAGCAGCACAACGGAACCUGAGAGGGGCUACAGGACAAUUCCAGAAACAGCGUGCUUCAGGAACUGCGGUAAGGUAUUGGGGCCCAAGGCAGGACGCGUCUCAUAAGGAUAGAAGGGGAGCCUUCCCAGGGUGUGACUGGUAGUCUGACCCAGACGGGUUAGGGGCAGCAAGAACAGGUCGCCAAUUUGGAUGGAACUCACACCCCAACCAACACCGGAUGUGAGAGUGGCUCGCUAAGUUGGUUAGGAAAAGGAAACUGGAGGCGGCAAGAGUGGCUCACCAUCCCAAUUAGGAACACAGGAACUGGGAACAGGGAGGUGUGUGAAAGUGUGUGAGAGAUGGUUCCUGGAGAAACCAAUGUGGGGAGUGAUGUGGGGAGUCACAGAUCUCUUAGCAUGGACUGUGUGCUCCAAGCAAAGUGUGGGGCCAAGCUGGACUAGUGGCGAACCACAUAUGGCUAAUAGGAGCUGCCCCACAGCUCAGAAUUGUGGUGGGAAUAAGGACCUCUCCAAAGCCAAGUGGUGUCUGGAAACUCCCGUAAUAGAAGGUCUGGUUGGUCUGAGGCAAAAGGAAGAGUGGGUAUGCUGCAUCAUAAAGGGAGGAAAUAGGAGGAAAGUCAUCAAAACCCACUCCACUGGAGUGCAUGUUACAAAACUUUAAGAAAGGUUUUGCAGGGGAUUAUGGAGUUAAGCUGACCCCCCAAAGGUUGAGAACUCUCUGUGAACUAGAAUGGCCUUCUUUUGGAGUUGGAUGGCCGACCGAAGGAACUACAGACAGGGAAAUAAUUGGCCGUGUAUUUAGGGUGGUGACAGGGGUCGGAGGACAGCCUGGGCAUCCAGAUCAAUUUCCUUACAUUAACUCAUGGUUAAAUAUAGUACAAACAAGACCAGCCUGGAUCCAGCCCUGUUUAGUGGCUCAUUGCAAAACACUUGUGGCCCAAGCUGAGCCAAGUGAAAGUAAGAGCAGGUUCGCCGGCAGACACAGAGUUAAAGGGGAAGUCCCAGAGGGAACAAGAAAGGCCAGUUUUGCAGGAGCUGCCAGAGGGAACAGAGAUUCCUCCUCCAUAUGUCCCAGCCUGGCCCCCUUUACUGAGGCCAACAGCCCCCCAGGAACCAAAUUCAGGAGCUAGCACACCCCAAGUUUCACCCCAAAGGGAAGAAUCAGAGCCUUGAGAGGCCAGGGAAGGAAAUCAAGAUAGUCGAGCAGGGUGUCUCAGAUCUGGCUGUGCUCAAGCAUGUAAAUGCCUCUCAGGGAGACGUGAGGACCCAUUUAUUAUGAUGACCAAGGCCAAGUCCAAGGGGGGCAACAGAUUUUCAUCUAUGAGCCCUUUUCAACCACUAAUCUCUUAAACUGGAAACACCAUACUCCCUCCUAUACAGAGAAGCCCCAAGCUCUUGUAGAUCUGAUGCAGUCCAUCUUUCUGACACACAAUCCAACCUGGCCAGACUGCAGGCAGCUUCUUCUCACGCUGUUUAACACUGAGGACCGCAGGAGAGUAACCCAGCAACUCUCCGCUGGCUAGAAGCCCAUGCACCAGCAGAUGCAGUGAAUGCUCAGGCAUACGCUCAGGGCCAGUUCCCAGACCAAGAUCCCAACUGGGACCCAGAAGAUGCGACCCAGCUUCAGCAUUUGCAGAGGUACCGAAGACACUUCUGAAAGGGCUAAGAGAUGGUGGAAAAAGGGCAAUCAAUAAGAAAAGAUCUCAGGGAUGCUUCAGGGAAGUGAUGAGAGCCCUAGCCAGUUUUAUGAAAGACUCUGAGAUAUACUGGCUUUUCACCCCAUUUGACCCUGAAGCUGUUGAAAAUCAGCGUAUGGUAAAUAUAUCAUUUGUAGGACAGGCCCAGGGUGACAUAAAGCGAAACCUUCAGAAACUGGAAGGUUUCGCAGGCAUGAAUGCCACCCAGCUUAUAGAAGUAGCCACCAGGCUACUUCUAUAAGUAGGAGGGUGGAGGAUUACAGGUGGGAUCACACCUGUAAUCCCAGCACUUUGGGAGGCCGAGGCGGGCAGAUCACAAGGUCAGGAGAUUGAGACCAUCCUGGCUAACACGGUGAAACCCUGUCUCUACUAAAAAUACUCGGGAGGCUGAGGCAGGAGAAUGGUGUGAACCUAGGAGGCAGAGCUUGCAGUUAGCUGAGAUCGCACCACUGCACUCCAGUCUGGGUGACAGAGCGAGACUCCGUCUCAAAAAACAAACAAACAAAAAGAAGUAGCCACCAAAGUGUAUGUUAACCAUGACCAGGAGGCAAAGAAGGAAGCAGAUCGGAGGCUUAAAAAGAAAGCCGAUCUGUUAGCAACAGCCCUCAUAGAGAGAGACACUAGCAAUGUGAGAGGAUGAGGAAGUGGACGUGGACAUGGACAUGGAAGAGGCCAAGACAAGGAUUCGAGAGCUGACCAAGGUUAGAGAAGGAUCAAUGUGCACAAUGCAAAAAGAAAGGACACUGGAAGGAUAAAUGUCCAUAAGGCAAUGAGGGAAAUGGCCAAGGCCGAGAGACAAAGAGGCCACCGGCCAGGGGCUGCCACACCCUGGCAGAACCAGAUACUGAUCUGAUCAGGCUGGCAGGGGCUGAAAGAUGUGAGGACUAGGACAGACCGCACUCCUUCUCAUUGGGCCUUCAGGAGCCUAUGGUCACAUUAAAAGUUGGAAGCCGUUCAGUGGACUUUAUGGUAGAUACUGGGGCUGAACACUCUGUAGUAACUCAACCCAUAGGGCCACUAAAAACUAUACAACUAUUGUAGGGGCUACUGAAGUCUCAGAGAGGAGGCCAUUCUGCCGGUCAAGGAGUUGUGUUAUAGGAGGACGAGAAGUCCAGCAUAAAUUACUAUACUUCCCAAAUUGUCCAGUUCCCUUGUUAGGGAGAGACCCACUCCAAAAACUGCAAACACGGAUUACUUUUGGCCCGCAGGGAGGUAUAACUUUAAAUCUGACUGACCCAAAGGCCAUGGUGUUAACCUUUACUGUCCUGCAGGCUGAGGAGUGGAGACUUUAUAAAAAGAGAUUUCAGGCACCAAUGCAACCUCAUACACAAGAGGAAGAAAAAUUAUUAUUUCAGUUAGUUAAAGAAAUGACUGGAGUAUGGGCUGAGGACAACCCACCUGGGUUAGCUGUAAAUCAUGCACCAGUAGUAGUAGAAUUAAAACCAGGAGCAGAUCCUGUUCAGGUUCAUCAGUACCCAGUUACCCAAAAGGCUGUAUGGGGCAUCUGUAAACACUUACAGCCGCUCUAUAAACAGGGGAUUUUAGUCCAAUGCCAGUUGCCCUGGAAUACUGUACUUUUGCCAGUACAAAAGCCACUACCAGGACCAGGGUCUGAUGAAUAUAGACCAGUGCAGGACUUGCGUGCCAUAAACUGGGCCACAGUAACCAUCCAUCCAGUGGUACCCAACCUGUAUAAUUUAAUGGAACUCAUUUCAGCAAGUGCUACCUGGUUUACGAUCUUAGACUUAAAGGAUGCUUUCCUUCAUAUCUGCAUGGUACCAGUUAGUCAGCCUAUCUUUGCAUUUCAAUGGGACAAAGAAGCUACCCAGCUCACCUGGACUAGGUUCCUGCAAGGGUUUAAAAACUUUCCCACAAUCUUUGGGGAAGCAUUGGCCUCAGACCUCAAGGCCUAUACCCUGCCAAAUGAUAACUGUGCCUCGUUACAGUAUGUAGAUGACCUUCUUUUGGCGGCCCCAACCCAAGAGGACUGUUAUCAGGGAACCCAAGACCUCCUCCAUCUCCUAUGAAAAGCAGGUUGCAAAGUACCUAAAAGGAAAGCUCAAAUUUGGCCAGGUGCAGUGGCUCACGCCUGUAAUCCCAGCACUUUGGGAGGCUGAGGUGGGUGGAUCACGAGGUCAGGAGUUCAAGACCAGCCUGGCCAACAUGGUGAAACCCCAUCUCUACUAAACACACAAAAAAUUAGCCAGGUGUGGUGGCAGGUGCCUGUAAUCCCAGCUACUCAGGGGGCUGAGGGAGGAGAAUUGCUUGAACUCAGAGGGCGGAGGUUGCAGUGAGCUGAGAUCACACCACUGCACUCCAGCCUGGGCGACAGAUUGAGACUCCAUCUCAAAAACAAAACAAAACAAAACAAAAACCAAUUUGCCAUGAAGAGGUUAAAUAUCUAGGUUUCAUAGUGAGCCAGGGGGAACGCCGGCUUGGCGAUGAGCGGAAGCAAGCCAUUUGUGCACUUCCAACCCCGACCACCUGACGUCAAAUGAGAGAAUUUUUAGGGGCAGCAGGAUUCUGCUGCAUCUGGAUUCCAAAUUUUUCACUGAUGGCUAAGCCGUUAUAUGAAGCCACAAAGUGGGGAGAAAAAGAGCCCCUACUCUGGGAAACUAAUCAGGAAAUAGCAUUCAAACAGAACAAGGAAGCUUUGACCCAGUCCCCAGCCUUAGGACUACCAGACAUAACUAAGCCUUCCUUUCUAUAUGUUCGUGAACAAAAGGGAGUGGCUAUAAGGGUUCUGACUCAAGUUAUAGGAUCAUGGCAUCACCCAGUGGCAUAUUUAUCCAAACAACUGGACUCUGCGGUGCUAGGAUGGCUUGCUUUAACACAUUAGCCACCUCCGUCUUGUUGGCACAAGAGGCUAGUAAACUAACUCUGGGACAGCAGCUAACCAUCUGGGUGCUGCACUCAGUACAGCAGCUAAGCAUCUGGGUGCUACACUCAGUUAUAACUUCGAUAGACCAAAGAAGACACCACUGGUUGUCAAACCUGAGGAUGACUCAGUACCAAGGGCUUCUAUGUGAAAACGCUUACAGUAUUUUAGAAACAGUGAACAGCUUAAACCCGGCUACUCUGCUCCCAGUGGAACCAGGAGCUCCCCUCCAUGACUGUGUCAAAACAGUAGAUGAGGUAUUCUCUAGUUGAAAAGAUCUUAUGGACCAACCCCUCAGAGACCCAGAUGUCGAGUACUUCAUGGAUGGAAGCAGUUUUGUGCUAGAAGGGGUUCAACAUGCCGGGUAUACAGUGGUAACAUUAGACUCAGUAGUAGAAGCUCAGUCUCUGCCUACUGGAACAUCAGCUCAAAAGGCAGAAUUAAUAGCCCCAACAAGAGCACUGCUGCUAGCAAAAGACAAAAAGGUCAAUAUUGGCAGGGCGCAGUAGCUCACGCAUGUAAUCCCAGCAGUUUGGGAGGCCAAGGCGGGUGGAUCACGAGGUCAGGAGUUCGAGAUCAGCCUGGCCAACAUGGCGAAAACCCGUCUCUACCAAAAAUACAAAAAAAUUAGCUGGGCGUGAUGGCAGGUGUCUGCAAUCCCAGCUACUUGGGAGGCUGAGGCAGGAGAAUCGCUUGAACCUGGGAGGCGGAGGUUGCAGUGAGCUGAGAUCUUGCCACUGCACUCCAGUCUGGGUGAUAAGAGUGAAACUCCGUCUCAAAAAAAAAUAGCCAAUAUUUACACUGAUUCUAAAUACGCUUUUACUACAUUGCAUGUACAUGGAACUAUAUACAAAAAGAGAGGACUUUUAACAGCUGGAGGCAAAUAAAUAAAGUACAAGGAAAAAAUUCUACAGUUCUUAGAGGCUGCAUGGGCUCCAGAAAAAGUAGUUGUAAUGCACUGCAGAGGGCACCAAAAGGCAGGGAUGCCAGAAGCCAAAGGAAACAGAAAGACAGGCAGAGGGGCAAAGCGGGCAGCAAUGAUUAUGCCACAUUUUAAAGAGAAAGCCUUAGCUAUGCCUCUCCUCCCAGAACCUCCUCUCCAAGAAGACCCAACUUAUACUCCAAAUGAAAGAGCCUGGUUUGCCCAGGAAGCUGGAAAAUACAUUAAAGGAGGGUGGUGAAAAUUCUUCGAUGGAAAGUCAGCCAUUCCGGAGAUGUUAGCUCCUAAGUUUGUGAAACAAAUUCAUCAAGGAACUCAUAUGAAAAAAAGGGCACUAAAAAUGUUAUUAAAAUGUCAUUUAUAUGUGCCACGGGUCUCUGCCAUCACUUGAGCCGUCUGUAAACAAUAUUUAACCUGUGCUCAGAACAAUCUGCGACAGGGGCCCACACGGCCCCCAGGAGUUCAGGAAAUAGGAGCCAUGCCUUGUAAAAACUUACUUACAGACUUUACCGAACUGCCCCGUGCUGGGGGCUAUCGGUAUAUGCUAGUGCUUAUUUGCACCUUUCCAGGAUGGGUUGAGGCUUUCCCCACCAGGACAAAAAAAGCAUGAGAAGUGACUAAAGCACUGUUAAAAGACAUUAUCAGCCGGGCACGGUGGCUCAUGCCUGUAAUCCCAGCACUUUGGGAAACUAAGGCGGGCGGAUCACAAAGUCAGGAGAUUGAGACCAUCCUGGCUAACACGGUGAAACCCUGCCUGUAUUAAAAAUAUAAAAAAAUUAGCCGGGCGUGAUGGCGGGUGCCUGUAGUCCCAGCUACUCAGGAGGCUGAGACAAGAGAAUGGCGUGAACCCGAGAGGUGGAGCUUGCAGUGAGCCGAGAUCAGGCCACUGCACUCCAGCCUGGGCUACAGAGCAAGACUGUCUCAAAAAAAAAAAAGAAAAAAAAAAAAAAAAAGACAUUAUACCCAGGUUUGGACUGCCUCUGACUUUAGGAUCAGACAAUGGGCCGGCAUUUGUAGCUGAAAUAGUGCAAGAUUUAACAAGACUUUUUUUAAAUUUUCUUUUCUUUAUAUAUAUAUAUGUAUGUAUAUAUUUAUUAUACUUUAAGUUCUAGGGUACAUGUGCACAACUUGCAGGUUUGUUACAUAUGUAUACAUGUGCCAUGUUGGUGUGCUGCACCCAUUAACUCGUCAUUUAUAUUAGGUAUAUCUCCUAAUGCUAUCCCUCCCCCCUCCCCCCACCCCACAACAGGCCCAAGUGUGUGAUAUUCCCCUUCCUGUGUCCAAGUGUUCUCACUGUUCAAUUCCCACCUAUGAGUGAGAACAUGCAGUGUUUGGUUUUUGUCCUUGCAAUAGUUUGCUGAGAAUGAUGGUUUCCAGCUUCAUCCAUGUCCCUACAAAGGACAUGAACUCAUCAUUUUUUAUGGCUGCAUAGUAUUCCAUGGUGUAUAUGUGCCACAUUUUCUUAAUCCAGUCUAUCAUUGAUGGACAUUUGGGUUGGUUCCAAGUCUUCGCUAUUGUGAAUAGUGCUGCAAUAAACAUACGUGUGCAUGUAUCUUUAUAGCAGCAUGAUUUAUAAUCCUUUGGGUAUAUACCCAGUAAUGGGAUGGCUGGGUCAAAUGGUAUUUCUAGUUCUAGAUCCCUGAGGAAUCGCCACACUGACUUCCACAAUGGUUGAACUAGUUUACAGUCCUAUCAACAGUGUAAAAGUGUUCCUAUUUCUCCACAUCCUCUCCAGCACCUGUUGUUUCCUGACUUUUUAAUGAUCGCCAUUCUAACUGGUGUGAGAUGGUAUCUCAUUGUGGUUUUGAUUUGCAUUCUCUGAUGGCCAGUGAUGAUGAGCAUUUUUUCAUGUGUCUGCUGGCUGCAUAAAUGUCUUCUUUUGAGAAGUGUCUGCUCAUAUCCUUCGCCCACUUGUUGAUGGGGUUGUUUGUUUUUUUCUUGUAAACUUGUUUGAGUUCUUUGUAGAUUCUGGAUAUUAGCCCUUUGUCAGAUGAAUAGAUUGCAAAAAUUUUCUCCCAUUCUGUAGUUUGCCUGUUCACUCUGAUGGUAGUUUCUUUUGCUGUGCAGAAGCUCUUUAGUUUAGUUAGAUCCCAUUUGUCAAUUUUGGCUUUUUUUGCCAUUGCUUUUGCUGUUUUAGACAUGAAGUCCUUGCCCAUGCCUAUGUCCUUGCCCAUGCCUAUGUAUUGCCUAGGUUUUCUUCUAGGGUUUUUAUGGUUUUAGGUCUAACAUUUAAGUCUUUAAUCCAUCUUGAAUUAAUUUUUGUAUAAGGUGUAAGGAAGGGAUCCAGUUUCAGCUUUCUACAUAUGGCUAGCCAGUUUUCCCAGCACCAUUUGUUGAAUAGGGAAUCCUUUCCCCAUUUCUUGUAUUUGUCAGGUUUGUCAAAGAUCAGAUAGUUGUAGAUGUGUGGUAUUAUUUCUGAGGGCUCUGUUCUGUUCCAUUGGUCUGUAUCUCUGUUUUGGUUCCAGUACCAUGCUGUUUUCGUUACUGUAGCAGUUUCUUCCUUGCAUCGAUGGUCUUACAAUGUCUUUUUUUUUUAAUAGAUGCAGAAAAGGCCUUUGACAAAAUUCAAUAGUCCUUCAUGCUAAAAAGUCUCAAUAAAUUAGGUAUUGAUGGGAUGUAUCUCAAAAUAAUAAGAGCUAUUUAUGACAAACCCACAGCCAACAUCAUACUGAAUGGGCAAAAACUGGAAGCAUUCCCUUUGAAAACUGGCACAAGACAGGGAUGCCCGUCUUUGUAGUAUAGUUUGAAGCCAGGUGGCAUGAUGCCUCCAGCUUUGUUCUUUUGGCUUAGAAUUGUCUUGGCAAUGCGGGCUCUUUUUUGGUU